This 678-nucleotide unclassified non-coding RNA is filed under the name Hevea brasiliensis (rubber tree). Lineage: Eukaryota; Viridiplantae; Streptophyta; Magnoliopsida; Malpighiales; Euphorbiaceae. The record is from RNAcentral.
AUCAAGAUUACGGAAGCAGGUACUUUUGCUGUUUGCACUUUUCCAUUCUUGGGGCGUUCAUUUAUUUCUUCAUCAAUGUAAUUGCUUAGAUGGAUUCAUAUGACCCGCAUUUUCAUUUUACCUUUUCUAUUAUUAUUUGGAGGAAGGUGUGCAUAUUUGUCCUUUGUAGUUGGUUUAAAAAUUCAUUUCUUAUCACCUGUUUUUAUUAGUGUUGAUAAAACCUCAUUGGUGCUCCUGCAAGCAGGCCCCAAACAGGUGAAAAGGGGCUUAAUUCUGUUAAAGCUUAUCUAUCUUAGUUAUGACACUUCACAUGUUAUCCUGAAAAUAAUGGGGCGCGAUAUCAUUGAUCUGAGGAAAGCAUUCAAGAAUUUAGUUUUAGAACUUGUGCCCAUCUAGGUUGGCUUGUACUGUCUUGUGGUUAAAGGUACAAGUGAAAACUUGUUUGGAUUCAGCGUAUUCUACAUUGUCCUAUGUAAGAGGAGGAAAUCUUAAAAUGCUAAAAAUGGGUAGCAGAUCUUUCUCUUUUGCUUUUGGGUCAGGGAGCCAAAGCACCUGAAACUUUGGGGAAGUGUUUGCUUUAGAAGUUUAUAAGAUAUUGACUUGCUUAUAUACUCUUUAAUUGUUAAAUCUGUUUCUUUGUUUUAUCAUCCUUACCAGGCAGAGUGUGAAGAGCUACAA